UACGGAGGAUGCGAGCGCUAUCCGGAUUUAUUGGGUUUAAAGGGUGCGUAGGCGGGAUGCCAAGUCAGCGGUAAAAAUGCGGUGCUCAACGCCGUCGAGCCGUUGAAACUGGCGUUCUUGAGUGGGCGAGAAGUAUGCGGAAUGCGUGGUGUAGCGGUGAAAUGCAUAGAUAUCACGCAGAACUCCGAUUGCGAAGGCGGCAUACCGGCGCCCUACUGACGCUGAGGCACGAAAGCGUGGGUAUCGAACAGG
RNAcentral lists this ribosomal RNA (252 nucleotides) under uncultured bacterium. RNAcentral's name for it is "partial 16S ribosomal RNA". It matches the Rfam family "Bacterial small subunit ribosomal RNA", at positions 524 to 776 of the family's 1533-position model. The record is from RNAcentral.